Suricata suricatta (meerkat) is the source of this 715-nucleotide long non-coding RNA. RefSeq lists it as uncharacterized. The transcript has 3 exons. NCBI's taxonomy places the organism in Eukaryota, Metazoa, Chordata, Mammalia, Carnivora, Herpestidae. The record is from RefSeq and is a predicted model, not a curated record.
AAAGGAAAGAAGAAAAGAAACAACAGAGGGACAGGAAGGAAGGGAGGAAGGAAAGAACGCAGAAAGGAGAGAAAGCAGCUUCCAGAACCAGGCCCCGGCCGGGAGCCCAGCGCGGAGACACAGGCCACACCCCAUGUGCCCGCGGCAGGACGACUGGAUGCUGUGCGGCACCGUGGCCCAGCUCACCCGGACCUUCUGGUCCGGGCAGUGAGGACGCAGUGGUCGUCGGGACUCACGUCCAGCGAACGGGAUUGACCGAGGACAGAACUGCAGCGCCCCUCCCCCGCGGCUCACACCCUGGCUGUCCCUGUCUUCUGGGCCACCCUGAUGCCUCCUCACCUGCCUGUCUGCACCCACCUUCCACACCACCUUCCUGAGCCCCACUCCUGAGGCCGCCUGCCACCAGCCUGCACGUCUGCGGGGCUGCUGCUGAACCCACACCCCCGACAGCCUGGCUUCUGAGGUCGAGCCCCGCACCAGGCUCCGCACUGACGGUGUGGCGCCUGCUUGGGAUGCUCUCUCCUCCUCCCUCUCUGCCCUUCACCUCCGCAGGUUCUCUCUCAAAAUAAACUUUAAAAAAAAUCCAUGUAAGAUGGUCAUGUCAGGAGAAAUUAGGUUGAUAUGUUUGGGGGCGUUUCUUACUGGCAAAUUUAAAACUGCCACCUGGUGGGGGCACCAGCCGGGGCUCCGUCACUUAAGCUUCUGACUUCAGCUC